GGGCGAAUACUCAAGUGGCCAACGAGGGCAGACUGUAAAUCUGCUGGCUUAUGCCUACGGGGGUUCGAAUCCCUCUUCGCCCA
RNAcentral lists this transfer RNA (83 nucleotides) under bacterium. RNAcentral's name for it is "tRNA-Tyr". It matches the Rfam family "tRNA". From Rfam's summary of the family: Transfer RNA (tRNA) molecules are approximately 80 nucleotides in length. Their secondary structure includes four short double-helical elements and three loops (D, anti-codon, and T loops). The record is from RNAcentral. RNAcentral also lists the same sequence under 2 other names.